Molecule: long non-coding RNA, 472 nt
Organism: Oreochromis niloticus (Nile tilapia)
Lineage: Eukaryota; Metazoa; Chordata; Actinopteri; Cichliformes; Cichlidae
Exons: 3
Source: RefSeq, a predicted model, not a curated record
CGUGAAUCAUAUUGAAGGAUCCCAGACAAACUGAAAAAGCUUCUAGAAAACACUCUGAAGCGUUCGUGAUCUUAGUGAGGAGGAGGGUGCUGUGGGUCAGAGACUCACCGGAACAUGCUUGGAUGAUCACAUUUUCUAAAUCAUCUGUUUUUGACGAACGCACUGCCCGAGCCUCAUUCUGACCAAUGAUAUGUCUGUGUUGUCUGUGCAAACAUUUUGUCACUGCUGUUUGCUGUGAAGACAAACAGGAAGCAGAGGAAAGCCUGCAGGUUAGCAGAGUCAUCACUGUGUUGUCUGAUCUACAGCGAUACGGCUGUGGAUGGCUUCAGAGGCAUACAUCGAAGACAGCUCACUGGUUUGACUUGCUGCUGUUGUAACAACUGUCUGCUGCUCCUCACUCCACUCACUCCCCUUGUUUGGUUGUCGGCUCUUGGUCUUCUUGGAUGGAAUCUUCAGAUUCACCUGAGCUCGG